RNAcentral lists this ribosomal RNA (496 nucleotides) under uncultured bacterium. Its description in RNAcentral is "partial 16S ribosomal RNA". It matches the Rfam family "Bacterial small subunit ribosomal RNA", at positions 28 to 506 of the family's 1533-position model. The record is from RNAcentral.
GAUGAACGCUGGCGGCGUGCCUAAUACAUGCAAGUCGAGCGAACAGACGAGGAGCUUGCUCCUCUGACGUUAGCGGCGGACGGGUGAGUAACACGUGGAUAACCUACCUAUAAGACUGGGAUAACUUCGGGAAACCGGAGCUAAUACCGGAUAAUAUAUUGAACCGCAUGGUUCAAUAGUGAAAGACGGUUUUGCUGUCACUUAUAGAUGGAUCCGCGCCGCAUUAGCUAGUUGGUAAGGUAACGGCUUACCAAGGCAACGAGGCGUAGCCGACCUGAGAGGGUGAUCGGCCACACUGGAACUGAGACACGGUCCAGACUCCUACGGGAGGCAGCAGUAGGGAAUCUUCCGCAAUGGGCGAAAGCCUGACGGAGCAACGCCGCGUGAGUGAUGAAGGUCUUCGGAUCGUAAAACUCUGUUAUUAGGGAAGAACAAAUGUGUAAGUAACUAUGCACGUCUUGACGGUACCUAAUCAGAAAGCCACGGCUAACUACGU